UGUAAACCUCUUUCAGUAGGGAAGAAGCGAAAGUGACGGUACCUGCAGAAGAAGCGCCGGCUAACUACGUGCCAGCAGCCGCAGGUAAUACGUAGGGCGCAAGCGUUAUCCGGGAAUUAUUGGGCGUAAAGAGCUCGUAGGCGGUUUGUCGCGUCUGCCGUGAAAGUCCGGGGCUCAACUCCGGAUCUGCGGUGGGUACGGGCAGACUAGAGUGAUGUAGGGGAGACUGGAAUUCCUGGUGUAGCGGUGAAAUGCGCAGAUAUCAGGAGGAACACCGAUGGCGAAGGCAGGUCUCUGGGCAUUAACUGACGCUGAGGAGCGAAAGCAUGGGGAGCGAACAGGAUUAGAUACCCUGGUAGUCCAUGCCGUAAACGUUGGGCACUAGGUGUGGGGGACAUUCCACGUUUUCCGCGCCGUAGCUAACGCAUUAAGUGCCCCGCCUGGGGAGUACGGCCGCAAGGCUAAAACUCAAAGGAAUUGACGGGGGCCCGCACAAGCGGCGGAGCAUGCGGAUUAAUUCGAUGCAACGCGAAGAACCUUACCAAGGCUUGACAUGAACCGGAAACGUCUGGAAACAGGCGCCCCACUUGUGGUCGGUUUACAGGUGGUGCAUGGUUGUCGUCAGCUCGUGUCGUGAGAUGUUGGGUUAAGUCCCGCAACGAGCGCAACCCUCGUUCCAUGUUGCCAGCGCGUAAUGGCGGGGACUCAUGGGAGACUGCCGGGGUCAACUCGGAGGAAGGUGGGGACGACGUCAAAUCAUCAUGCCCCUUAUGUCUUGGGCUUCACGCAUGCUACAAUGGCCGGUACAAAGGGUUGCGAUACUGUGAGGUGGAGCUAAUCCCAAAAAGCCGGUCUCAGUUCGGAUUGGGGUCUGCAACUCGACCCCAUGAAGUCGGAGUCGCUAGUAAUCGCAGAUCAGCAACGCUGCGGUGAAUACGUUCCCGGGCCUUGUACACACCGCCCGUCAAGUCACGAAAGUUGGUAACACCCG
This 991-nucleotide ribosomal RNA is filed under the name Pseudarthrobacter equi. RNAcentral describes it as "bacterial SSU rRNA". It matches the Rfam family "Bacterial small subunit ribosomal RNA", at positions 424 to 1423 of the family's 1533-position model. The record is from RNAcentral. Lineage: Bacteria; Bacillati; Actinomycetota; Actinomycetes; Micrococcales; Micrococcaceae.